Molecule: ribosomal RNA, 439 nt
Filed under: uncultured bacterium
Lineage: Bacteria
Description: bacterial SSU rRNA
Rfam family: Bacterial small subunit ribosomal RNA
Source: RNAcentral
GCAAAACGCGAAGAACCUUACCAGGUCUUGACAUCCCAUUGACCACUAUGGAGACAUAGUUUUCCCUUCGGGGACAACGGUGACAGGUGGUGCAUGGUUGUCGUCAGCUCGUGUCGUGAGAUGUUGGGUUAAGUCCCGCAACGAGCGCAACCCUUGUUCUUAGUUGCCAUCAUUUAGUUGGGCACUCUAAGGAGACUGCCGGUGACAAACCGGAGGAAGGUGGGGAUGACGUCAAAUCAUCAUGCCCCUUAUGACCUGGGCUACACACGUGCUACAAUGGACGGUACAAACGGUUGCCAACCCGCGAGGGGGAGCUAAUCCGAUAAAACCGUUCUCAGUUCGGAUUGUAGGCUGCAACUCGCCUACAUGAAGCCGGAAUCGCUAGUAAUCGCGGAUCAGCAUGCCGCGGUGAAUACGUUCCCGGGUCUUGUACACACCG